CAGUUGUACAUGAAAGUUAAUAUUUCCAGGACCCUGCGUGGGAUACCUUUCCCAGAAUUCAUGUUCUCAAUGGGAAACUGAAAUAGCGUGUGAGAGUUACCCUAAGUAGAUUUAAAUAAUUAAAUUCAAAAAUUCUCAAACCACUUGCUGUUUCAAAUUUAUUUCUUUAAUAACAACUCAGACUCAGCAACAGACUGGAUUAAGGUUUCAUUUAUUCGAAAUUUAAGGUAUAUCCAGCUCUGAGUGUUGUUUUUAAGUAUUUAAGGGGAAAUUUGUGCACGGUGAAAAUGAAGAGACUGCAGCAUUAUAAAUUCAUUUCCUCUAUUAGAAUCAGGGCCGCGCCUGCCCACUGCAGCUGUUCGGAAGGCAGGGCGGCCAGGCUGGAGGGCGCACCCCGGCAGCAGACGACCCUUUGUUUCCCCAGAGAGGAGACUUGGCCGGCCCCACACCCUUCACGGGAACUAUUUCCUCAGUGGCGCCAGGCAGUUGGGCAGGAUCAUCUGGUGCGGUUUUCAUGUGGCAAAGCAAAAAAUCCUCCGGGAUUCCAGGGUGACUUCUAAAGAUCCACUUUCAUCCGUGACCUCAAACCCUGCCUUGCACCAGGCCCCAAAGAUGAGAGGUCAUUGCGGCCUGGGCAGGAUUCACUGACCUCUGAAACCACCCUCCCUGAUCCAUCCAGCGAAAGCCGAGAGCGACUCAGAAAACAGGUGUUACAUGGCAGAUGAGAAAAAGAGGACAAGAUGAGUGCCUUUUCCAAUACAGUAGAAUAACUUCUGUCUCUCCUUACAUUGUCUGCUUCCUGACCAGCCAGCGAGCUGCUGGAAGGCCUUGAGUUUCUUGGGGCCGGCAGGGUAUCUCCUCCGGAGAAAGUUCAGCCGGCGGCAGGGACACUCUGCAAGCUUAUCCUGACCCCCAGUGGCCGGCCCUGUCAUCGGACCUACACCGGCUCCCACUCUCGCCGCCCCUUGGUUCCCUACCUAGCUAGAUCCCCAGGACCCAGGCACCAGGAGUUUUAAUUGACAAUUAAAACAAACUUCGGUUCUCACCAGAAUCGACUGAGUGAAAUUUCGCAACUGCAAGUUUCACAAUUCAAUUCCCUUGAAGCAAAACCAACAGUUUCCCUGAGGUUUCACUCCACACCUCUCCAUUUGUUGUUUAACUUCCCCUUCAAGUUUCCCUUCCCACACAGCAUUUUAUUUGAGAGUCAGGCCUGGAAACGGUUUAAUUAUGUUCCUGGGGGUCCCCGCCUCGUGCCUGCCCCGGCGCUGAGUCAGCACCUCCGCGCAGCCAGGAUGGGAAGGGAGCGCGCUCCCGGCCCAGGCCCGGAGCUCCAGCAGGUGAGCAGCACCCAGUUGAAAAUUCUGGAGGCUUCCCUGGUGGCCCCGUGGGUAAGAAUCCACCUGCCAAUGCAGAGGACACGGGUUUGAUCCCUGAUCCAGGAAGAUCCCAUGUAUCAUGGAGCAACUAAGCCCAUGCACCACAACUACUGAGCCUGCACGCUAGGGCCAGGGAGCCACAACUACUGAGCCUGUGAACCACAGCUACUGAAGCCCACAUGCCGAGAGCCUGCGUUCCACAAUAAGAGAUGCCGCUGCAAUGAGAAGCCUGUACACAGCAACAAAGAGUGGCCCCUGUUCGCGGCAAAUAGAGAAAGCCCAUGCACAGUAAGGAAGACCUAGUACAACCAAAAAUAAUAAAUAAUUUUUUUAAUGUAAUGUGGCUGAAGAAAUAAAGGCUCCAGAUGAAUGCUGCAGGUUGGUUGUGCAAGUAGAUUGUAGAAAUUCUAGUCCAGGUAGGAGGCUUUGGAGGUCUCAUCUCUACCACGGUUUCCUGAAUCAUGAGGCAGCAUGAGACAGACCUCAUUUUAUUGUGCUUUACAUUAUUGCGCUUUGCAAAUACUGAGGUUUCUACAAAUCAAAGGUUUGUGGAAACCCUGUGUUGUUAGAUGAUGGUUAGCAUUUGUAACAAUAAACUUUUAAAA
Bos taurus (domestic cattle) is the source of this 1981-nucleotide long non-coding RNA. The record is from Ensembl. Lineage: Eukaryota; Metazoa; Chordata; Mammalia; Artiodactyla; Bovidae.